Long non-coding RNA from Pangasianodon hypophthalmus (striped catfish), 1411 nucleotides. RefSeq lists it as uncharacterized. The record is from RefSeq and is a predicted model, not a curated record. The transcript is spliced from 2 exons. NCBI's taxonomy places the organism in Eukaryota, Metazoa, Chordata, Actinopteri, Siluriformes, Pangasiidae.
UCACUUGACAUGCGCACAAAGCUAUCUAUUUGAUUCUUACUGCCCCUGGUUGUUAGGAGGGGUAAAAUAGAAUCAGAAAGAAAACUUCUCAGGCAAGUCUUUGUGAUUGCACACAGGAGAUCCAUCAACCUUUUCGCACACUGAUGGCAAAGUCUUGUGUGGAAUUUUUGGGAGGUAUUGGGAUGAUUAAUGAUCUACCUGGAAACUGUGGACAGAAUGGAGAAAUGAGAAAAACCUUUCUUCUGUGUUUUUUUUCUGGCUGGCUGUCUCCUUAGAAUGCUGGCUGGCUGUCUCCUGAGAAUGCUUUCGCACCUUAUGUCUGCUUUACUUUGGCUCUGUUCCUUAGUUACGCAGAGGUGGUAAACUAAUUUGGAUCAGUCGACUGGGCAUCUGCCUCUGUUAUUAGGUUGAAUGCGUAAUACGGAUGGAGAGGUGUCUAACCACAACUGGAAACUGAGGCACAGUGAGAGCUUUCCUGAUCCAAAAUGACGUUGGUGGGCUGCAGAUAAUUGCUGGGACCCAACAAGGCCUGCACUUGAAACACUUUGCCAAGCAGAGAUUUAAGACACAAGGGCCAUAAAUGGUCAUGACCCAACUCAGGAACAAUAUAUCUUUUCCAUCAGCCUGUUCCAUACAGAGCUCUAAGGGUGUUUCCAACUUUUGUAUAAGAUUCAAGAUUAUAAAGAGCUAUGUAAACUGCAAGGCUGAUAAAACUGAUUAUGUGUGUACAGAUAAGUAAUCUACCAAAAUCAAAAAUGGACAUGUGCAUUGGUUUUGGCUUAGCUUCUGCUAAUCCAGAAACACUGAUACACAAAAUCAGAAGAUUUCAUUUGUUAUUUGACACUAUGAACACUAAAUAAAUCAGUUUGGCUUGCAUUUGUGAAACUGAUGAAGACAAGCAUCUUCCACACAGAUGGAUAUUAAAUCCCAGUCAGCGUCUUGUUCUGAUUUCCCAAGCAGAAUGCAUGGAGGAGGCUUUCUGAGCCCUCCUGGGUGGAGAAACGCAGUCAGUGUCUGAUAACAACUGCUUUCUCUCACUGUCUCUUCAGCUCUCUUGACCUAACAUGUCAUAAAAUGCUUGAGCUCAGAGGCUCUGACAACAACACGCCAUGGACAAUCUGUCCAAAAUUAAUAAACAAAUUCAUUAGAUACAAUCCCUCUGAAAGCCUGGACUGAGUCACUUUGGAAGUAUUAUAUGACAUUACUGUAGCCCCUGAGGAUGUUCUUUUUUUGGCGUUGAAAAAAUUCUCAUUUCCAAAACCUCUAUUAUGAAGUCAAACUAGCUGAGUGGCUGAGUAAGUUACCACACAUACAUCUUUCCUGUGAUUCUGGCAUUAUUAUUAAACUGAUAAUGAGCCCGCAUUCAUUUUGCUGAUUGGUUAGAUUUUUAAUUCUUUAAGGAAAUUUAAUU